AUCUUAAUAGCUUAAUAAUAGAGCAUAGCACUGAAGAUGCUAAGGUGACUUUACAGUCUCAUAUAUAUA
This 69-nucleotide transfer RNA is filed under the name Ficus variegata (in: gastropods). Its description in RNAcentral is "Ficus variegata Roding, 1798 tRNA-Phe". Lineage: Eukaryota; Metazoa; Mollusca; Gastropoda; Littorinimorpha; Ficidae. The record is from RNAcentral.